CCUUGCCAAUCCCCAAGGUGAGCUACCGUUGGAGAUGAUCUGCCCAUGGCAGACAUUGGUGUUGCUACUGUUAAGGGACAUUGGUGUGUACUGGUUAUGGAAACUGAAUUUCUUUGGUGCAGUGUAGUACGUGGACUGCUAAUAUAUUAGCUAUAUGAUCUAGUACAUGUGAGGAUGGAUGUUAUUUGUGCAGAAUGCAUCUGAAGGAAGGUAGUGUCAACUGACGAAAAAACUACAUGUCAAGCGAUCAGAAUGUGUAUGCAGGUUGUGGCCGUUUCGGUGUUGCAGCGUCAGUGAGCUCCUUCAUGUCGAGGCCGUCACUGCUCUUGUAGUCCAGCAUGUAGAGGUCCACCGGCUGUAGCGGGGCAGGAGAAUGGAUGGACAGAGCUAAUGCAGAAAACGUACUGCUAUAUGUGUGCAGUUUAUUUUUAACAGUCUAGUGGUAUAUGUGUGCAAAUGAACUGUUAUAUUGUUCCUUUCAAAAAUAGUUAUUUGUUUUUACUAUAUAACUUGUCUUAACUAGGAAUAUUUGUGAUCCUUUCAUAAACACAUUUGGGCUAUAUUUUCAACCCAGCUUUACAACACAAAAGUACUCUGUACAGCCACAAAUCGCAGAAAUUAUAUCCUGUGAAAAAAAAAUGUGCCCAGCCAUUCACCCAAGCACUAUGGCCCAGCUCGUUUUCUUUUCUUUUUGGCCUGUGUGCAAUUCGCCCCAGAGAUGGGCUCCUUCUAGCCAGCCCAAGAUGGCAACCAGCAGGCCUUGAGCGCCCCAGCUGGGCUGCCAGCUCAACCAGGGGCUGGGAGAAGCUGGCGACGCUCCAGAACGUUUCACGUUCGCCACCUGAAGCAAGAAGCGUGGUAAGAAGCUGGAUAUGGGAAGUUUUGGAGAAGCUAGAUGGUUUCAGAACAGGCCCUUAGUGUAGACUUGAAGAUAAAUUUCUACAGAUUUGCUAUUUUUCACAUCUAGAUGUGAAAUAACUAUCUCACAUCUAAGUCCAGAGCCAUUUGAUUUAUUCUGUCUUUAGGAUUCGCGCAAAUCGUUGUUUUUGUCUCUGCUAGUACAUUCUGUUGGGUUCGCUCGUGUUUUGUGGUCUGUUGCGCGGCCCGUAGUCGAUGCUAGCAGCGGGCCGGGGGCGGGUUUGUGGUGUUUGUUGGGCUGACGGGCCGUGUUUGUCUAUCUCAGAGCAGUUUUGAAGAGGAGGGGGCGACCAUCCUUUUUUCCCAUCGCAGUAGUUUCCCCUGUUUCCCAUUCCUCCUCAACAGGAGCUUCCAGGCGGCGGUUUUUUCUGGAGAGCGAGAUGGGAGAGAGACGCCAUUGGAGCGAAUUACCCUCGUUUUCCUUGUUUUUUUGCUCUGUCCGGUUACGCACCAUCCUCUGUUAUUUGUUUGUCUGUUCAUCGAUCUAGGUUUGCCCCUCAAUUCUAGCCAAAUGUGGGUAGGGUUCGUUACAGUUUAGCACGUCCCCUUUUUUGUUUGUGUAUUUGAUCUAUCCAGGGUUUGUUCCUCAAAUUAUCCAAAUGUGGAUGUGGAUUUCAAGUAGAUAAAGAUUCAGCAGGUUGUUUUGGGCGAUUUAGAUUGAAAACAACAGGCAGUUUUUUGUAUCUCGUGCUAGAAAUUCAGUAUAUCUUUGUGUAGUGUGCAGAGAUUCAGUAUCUCGUGCUAGAAAUUCAGUAUAAUCUUGUGUAGUGUGCAGAGAUUCAGUAUCUCGUGCUAGAAAUUCAGUAUAAUCUUAUGUAGUGUGCAGAGAUUCAGUAUCUCCUGCUAUAAUUUCAGCAUAAUCUUGUAUCAAUCAUGGUUGAUUUUUGUUUUUCAGUCUAGAUCCAUGUUCUUCCAUUUUCCAUGUCAGUACUUCUGUUAAGUUUUUGUCCAGUAUAACAACUUAUACAUGUGUUUUUAUUUUGUCAUAGUGAGUAUUUGGAUCAAUGUGACAGGCUAAAACCAUUUCACUCUAGAUUCUUUUUGUUUGAAAGAAAAGAGAUGAACUUAAAUAAAGAAGCACCUCACGAAUGCAUCAACUUAUACUUUUUUGUCUGUGUAUUUCAUCUAUAUAGGUGUUUUCUUUUUUCAGUUCACCCAAAUGCGGGGAGCCGGGUGGAUUUCAAGUAGUCAAGAUUCAGUGUGGUGGCUGCAUAGUUUGUCUUUUAGUUCACCCAAAUAAGCUGUCCAUGUUAGCUAGCUGAAUCGUCGGGUAAACUUGGAUAUACUAUACUGUAUACAUGUUUGUUCUCCUCCAGGAAAUUCGCCUAUCAUGCGAGAAACAGUUUUUGCCUUUAAAUGAGGCCGGUAGUUUUUAAGGUGGCUGGAGGCAUUGAAUGGAUCUUUUCAUCGUGUUUCCUUUUAGGUGGCUGAGUUUGUGUGUUGAACUUGUGCUCGUAGGCCUGAGCCCAUGCUUAUGCUUUUGAGCGGCACCUUUUUCUUCCUCUCCUUUUUCUUACCAUGUGCAUCCAUCCUUUUUUAAAAGACUUCCAACUUCAGCAAUAGGUUCAGAAUGUCUCCACCUUACUUCUGAUUCUAGGCAGAAGGUAAAUUAGUCUGCUGCCAAACUGAGCUUUUCGUUGGGCUACUAAUUGUUUUGGGUUUUAUGAACAUUCAUUUGUUUUUUGUAGGUUUUCACAUUAUUUGUUAUUUUUCCAGUACAAAUGGCUCGGUUUCUGAAAAGAAUCUUUUUAUCCAUGCAGGAUGGUGUGCCCAAACUGCCAUUCGCAUUUCGAGAGUGACAACGAGCAGAGAUUUUUUGGAGUUGUCAUUCGUGAGGGCUCCAAAGCCGCCCUCACCAACAGUGGUAAUUUUCCUUUUGUUUCUUUUGUCGCAAAUGUUUAUUUUCAUCUUUUUUAUAUUUGCUAAUUGUUUUGAAUUUUUUUAAUUUUUCUUUUUGUUUUUUGUUGUUGUUAACAGAACAUCCCGUGCACAGCCAGUUGAUAUGCCGUCGUUGCAAGUCUAUCAUUGACACACAACUGUUUUUUUUUUCGCUACAAGGCGUUGUCUUAGCUGCAAGUCCACCAUCAACACACAGCUGUGGGCUUCCUACACAACGGCGCUCCCAGUUUGCACGUCCAUCAUUGACAUGCAAUUGUGGGUUUUCUUUCUAGUUGUUUUUACUCUAGUUGCAAGUCUAUCAUUGACACACACUAGGAUCUUUUUUGUAGUUAUUUUUGCAAGUUGACCCUCGACUCGCAAGGUUUUUUGUGUAGUUUUUUCCACAUCACUUGCAAGUCGACCCUCAACUUGCAACUGGGUUUCAUGUAGUUGUAAUCGACCCAGUUGCAAGUGCACCAUCAACUCGCAACUCGGACCUGUGGUUCUUUGUUUCAUGCCACAUGCAAGUCGAUCCUCGACUCGCAACUAGUUUUUUUUGUAGCCGUAGUCACCCCAGUUGCAAGUCGGCCAUCAACUCGCAACUAGGCUUGUACUUUUUUGUUUCAUGCCACUUGCAAGUCGACCCUCGAUGCGCAAUUGAGGUUUUGUGUAGUUGUAAUCGCCCUAGUUCCAAGUGCAUCAUCGAGUCUCAACUCGGCCUGUACUUUUUUUGUUUCAUUCCACUUGCAAGUUGACCUUCGACUCGCAAUUGGAAUAUUUUGUGUAGUUGUAGUCACACUAGUUACAUGUCCACCAUCGACUCGCAACUCGGCUNNNNNNNNNNNNNNNNNNNNNNNNNNNNNNNNNNNNNNNNNNNNNNNNNNNNNNNNNNNNNNNNNNNNNNNNNNNNNNNNNNNNNNNNNNNNNNNNNNNNNNNNNNNNNNNNNNNNNNNNNNNNNNNNNNNNNNNNNNNNNNNNNNNNNNNNNNNNNNNNNNNNNNNNNNNNNNNNNNNNNNNNNNNNNNNNNNNNNNNNNNNNNNNNNNNNNNNNNNNNNNNNNNNNNNNNNNNNNNNNNNNUUUCACGUCACUUGCAAGUCGACCCUCGACUUACAACUGGGGUUUAAUGUAGUUGUAAUCGCCCCAGUUGCAAGUCCACCAUCGACUCGCAACUCGGACCGUAGUUCUCGUUUCAUGCCACUUGCAAGAUGCCCACUAACUCACAACUUGGGUUAUUUCUGUAGUUGUAGUCACACCAGUUGCAAGUCCACCAUUCACUCGCAACUCGGCUCGUAGUAUUUUGUUUUACAUCACUUGCAAGUCGACCCUUGACUUGCAACUGGGGUUUCCAUGUAGUUGUAAUCGCCCCAGUUGCAAGUCCACCAUCGACUCGCAACUCGGCCUGUACUUUUUUGUUUCAUGUCACUUGCAAGUUGACCUUCGACUCGCAACCAGGGUUUAUUUGUGUAGUUGUAGUCACCGCAGUUGCAUGUCCACUAUCAACUCGCAACUCGGCCUGUACUUUUUGUUUCUUGCCAUUUGCAAGUUGACCCUCGACUCACAACUGUUUUUUUUUGCGUAGUUGUAGUUACGCCAGUUGCAAGUCGACCAUCGACUUGCAACUCUGCUCGUAGUUUUUUGUUUCACGUCACUUGCAAGUUGAUGGAUCGACUUGCAACUGGGGUUUCUAUGUAGUUGUAAUUGUCCUAGUUGCAAGUCCACCAUCGACUCGCAACUCGGACCCGUAAUUCUUGUUUCAGGCCCAAUUGCAAGUCGCCAUUUGACUUGCAAACUGGGUUUUUUGUAUAGUUGUAGUCAUGCCAAUUGCAAGUCUAUCAAUGACUCACAACUCAGCUCGUAGUUUUUGUUUCACGCCACUUGCAAGUCAACCCUCGACUUGCAACUGGGGUUUUUAUAUAGUUUUAAUCGCCCUAGUUGCAAGUCUACCAUCUACUCGCAACUCGGACCCGUAGUUCUUUGUUUCAUGUCACUUGCAAGUCGACCCUCGACUCUCAACUAGGUUUUUUUGUAGUCGUAGUCACCCUAGUUGCAAGUGCACCAUCGACUCCCAACUCGGCUUGUACUUUUUUGUUUCAUGCCACUUGCAAGUUGACCCUCGACUUGCAAUUGGGGUAUUUUUUGUAGUUGUAGUCAUGCCCUGUUGCAAGUCCACCAUCAACUCGCAACUCGGCUUGUAGUUUUUGUUUCACGUCACUUGCAAGUCGACCCUCGACUUACAACUGAGGUUUAAUGUAGUUUAUAAUCACCCCAGUUGCAUGUCUACCAUCGACUCGGACCCGUAGUUACAUGCCACUUGCAAGUCACCCUUUGACUUGCAAACUCGGUUUUUUGUGUAGUUGUAGUCACGCCAGUUGCAAGUCCACCAACGACUCGCAACUCGACUCGUAGUUUUUGUUUCACGCCACUUGCAAGUCAACCCUCGACUUGCAACUGGGGUUUUCAUGUAGUUGUAAUCGCCCAGUCGCAAGUCCACCAUCGACUCGCAACUCGGACCCAUAGUUCUUUGUUUCAUGCUACUUGCAAGUCGACCCCCAACUCGUAACUGGUUUUUAGUAGUCAAAGUCGCCCUAGUUGCAAGUCGACCAUCAACUCGCAAGGCUUAUACUUUUUGUUUCGUGCCACUUGCAAGUCAACCCUCGAUGCGUUAUUGGGGUUAUUGUGUAGUUGUAAUCGCCCCAGUUGCAAGUACACCAUCGACUCGCAACUCGGCCCUAUACUUUUUUGUUUCGUGCCACUUGCAAGUUGACCUUCGCCUCGCGAUUGUUUUUUUUGUAGUUGUAGUAACGCCAGUUGCAAGUCCAUCAUCGACUCGCAACUCGGCUCGUAGUUUUUUUUUUCACGUCACUUGCAAGUCGACCCUCGACUUGGGGGCAAAAUGAUGAGAUAGAUGGGGUUCAUAUCUACUUGAUACAGAGAGGAUACAAUUUAUAAUUUUUUCCCAAGCACUUUACUCAUUUUAUUUGGUCCAAAAGAAUAACCGACUUAAAUCUUUGUUUCUACUGGACAAAAGGGAUAGCAUGUUAACCACCAACUGAAAUUUAUUUGUUAGUCAGUAAGAGGAUUUGAUGGUGUUGCAAACUCAUGACCCUGAGAGGCGAAUGAGUAAGGUGGAAUCAACUGCAGAAAUUGUUGUCCAUUGUUUUGCAUUUGAAAAAGCCUCAGGUCAAACACCACUGCUGGGUACUGGGAUGCACAGGCUACAAUCAAAACAAAGCAGUAAGUUCAUCUCAUGUUUUUUCCUGUCAUUUUUGUUUUUAUGGUCCCAUGUGUAUUUAUGAAUCAAUAUUUAUUUAUUUUUCUUUUUUCCCAAAUCAUACCUGAGUGCCAACGUAGUCCCCUGCAUAGCUAUCUUCAUUUCCCGCGGUCAUCAGUUUUUACAAAAUUUAACAUUAUGCUUUUCUUCGCCUAAAGAUUUUAUGGAAUGGAGGAGCACACCCCUAAGUCUUUUUCUUAGGGGCAACAUGGUAACAUUUGUCAUAUGUUGUUUUCUUUCUUAUCAGGUGCCAACACUUCUUUUGUGAACAUGCAUAAUACACUGAGAUGCAGUCAAAUUCUAAGUUCUUCUUUCUUAGAUGAAAAAUUCUAAAUUCAGAGUCAGCACUUUUUAUUUUGUUCUCUAACAAGGUAAUGAUGCAUCUUUUCCUCUUUCUUUUCCCUAGUGAGGCCAAAUAUAUUUUCUUGAUCAGGUUGUAUAUAGAAAUGUAGUUACAGUUUUUUUGGAAAGGCAAUGUUUUUUGCUGAAUAAAUGGGAACAAAUGCCAUCUGAAAGUUGUUGCACGCAAACUGGAACAAGGAGGUGUUUUUGUUCUGAUCUUUCAGUUAGCACAUGUAUGAAGCUCAACCCAUCUGAAACAAACAAGCUAUCUGGCAUGUAAAAGAUAGUGAUAUGCAGUUUUUCUCUGACCAGUUUCUAAGGCUAGAUCAGUUUUCUGAGCCUAGAUCACACUGACAUGCACUUUAUUUAGGCGCAACAACACAAUGUUGUCUGUGUGUUCAUGUAGAUAUGGUCUGCUUAGAAAGACUUUGCUCUGAUUUUUUUGACGACAAAAAACUGUUUAACUGUUGUGUGUUUUUUCCAGAGACCAGGACCAUAUGUUUGAUGGAAAAAGAAAGGAUAAUCAUGAGCAAAAAAUAAAGAUCUACCAUCAGAAAUUAUCUAGAAGGUUGUACACGAUCUUGCCAGAAAGGAUCUACAAGGAGAGGCCAAAUUUUGUACUUGGGUUUUCGCAACUUUUCGUCAGCCACCUAAGCUUCUUUUGCAACUGUUUUUUUUUCUGCCAACAAGGCCCAGGUCUGUGCGCACAUGUUGCUCUUUUUUUUUGUCAAACAAACAAAUAGACAAAUAAAGCCCAACAAACAAGGUCCAGGGGCAGGGGGUAGUUCGGCUGGGUGGGGUGGACUGGCCAGACACAAACAAACAAUACAAACAAGCGUCUAUGUGUGUGAGGGUGAUCGGGUGCAACCAGGCUGGUUGUUUGAUUAGAGGAUGAUGUCAGCUUAGUCUCACAUCUAGAUGCAACAUAGACAGACCCUAUUCAGGACCUCUUAACUGGCUUUAUCCUCUCUUUUAACCUGUCAAUUAUUUCCGUCUCGGUGUUUAAUUCUGUCUCAUUGGGUUGGAACUGCAGGAGCCAUGCCCUUGAUUCUUGCUCCGAAAGUGGACCUGGAGAAAUUUUUGGUUCGACGAUGUAAGAUACUCCCUCCGUUCCGAAUUACUUGUCUUAGAUUUGUUUAAAUACGGAUGUAUCUAGCAUUAAAAUGAGUCUAAAUACAUCAGUAUCUAGACAAAUUCAAGACAAGUAAUUCGGAACGGAGGGAGUAUUACUUAGUGCGUUUGGUCAUGGUACUGUUUCCCCAAAGGUGGUUAUUUCUUCAUUUUUGAAUCAUGCUUGUUGUGUGCUGAUGGUGCGUGAGGAACGCCAUGGUUCUUCUCUGAAUCAUUUGGUAGUUCUCUCAAUCUUGUGCAUUUUGUUCUCUAAAACAUGUGGUAUUUCUAGGUGCACAGCAUGUUGUGUGGUGGAUAGGGGAAGCUGAGGCGACGACUGGCGACUGUUCUCUUUACAACUGGCGUGGUUGAGAGGCUAGGGAGUAGGUCAUUUUGCUAUUUGGUCAGCGAUGGAGAUGAAUUCGGGAGAGAUGUGGCUGGGAGUUGUACCGGUCAUUUUUCUGUCUCUAUAUUAUCCAUUUGCACUAAUCGGUAACAGUUUUUUGAGCAGGCAAUAGUGUAGCAUGCAUGAACAGAAAAAUUGUAUAAGGCGAGGAGGACAAUCUGAGCGACCAACAUUAUGUUUUUUUACAGAACGACCAACAUUAUGUUGAGUAUUGAGAUGUAGGUAAGGCACGUAUAAUCUGAAUUGAGCCAUAUGGAGGGCAUGUAUAGUCUGUAUGUGCAGUCUUAAUUGUAUGUUGAAUUCUUCGCUACUAGGAAAAGGGCUAUAGCUAAUAUGGUAUAGCAGUGGCGCACCAUGUGUAGGUACGCCAUUAAUGUCCAUAUCACUAAUGGCGUACCACACCCAUGGUGCGCCAUUACUAACAUUUUUUUUCCAAAACUAGUAAUGGCGCACCACACACUCUGUGCGUCACUACUAACAAUUUUUUUUAUUUUUUUUCAAAACUAGUAAUGGCGCAUUAGUGUAUAGUGCGCCAUUACUAGUUCAAACUAGUAAUGGCGCACCACAACCAUGGUGCGCCACUACUAACAUUUUUUUUACUUUUUUGCAAAAACUAGUAAUGGCGCAUCACAUAAUAGGUGCGCCAUUUAAAAGAUCGUGAAUGU
This 8590-nucleotide long non-coding RNA is filed under the name Triticum aestivum (bread wheat). Its description in RNAcentral is "long non-coding RNA (TAES_LNC009350)". The stretch from base 7505 to 7639 matches the Rfam family "MIR1120/MIR1122 microRNA precursor family". The record is from RNAcentral. Lineage: Eukaryota; Viridiplantae; Streptophyta; Magnoliopsida; Poales; Poaceae.